Molecule: ribosomal RNA, 459 nt
Filed under: uncultured bacterium
Lineage: Bacteria
Description: bacterial SSU rRNA
Rfam family: Bacterial small subunit ribosomal RNA
Source: RNAcentral
UAAGGAAUAUUGCGCAAUGGGCGACAGCCUGACGCAGCGACGCCGCGUGGGGGAUGAAGGUCUUCGGAUUGUAAACCCCUUUCGGCAGGGAAGAUGGAACGGGUAACCGUUCGGACGGUACCUGCAGAAGCAGCCACGGCUAACUUCGUGCCAGCAGCCGCGGUAAUACGAAGGUGGCAAGCGUUGUUCGGAUUUACUGGGCGUACAGGGAGCGUAGGCGGUUGGGUAAGCCCUCCGUGAAAUCUCCGGGCCUAACCCGGAAAGUGCGGAGGGGACUGCUCGGCUAGAGGAUGGGAGAGGAGCGCGGAAUUCCCGGUGUAGCGGUGAAAUGCGUAGAGAUCGGGAGGAAGGCCGGUGGCGAAGGCGGCGCUCUGGAACAUUUCUGACGCUGAGGCUCGAAAGCGUGGGGAGCAAACAGGAUUAGAUACCCUAGUAGUCCCUGAGCGGGCUGGCAAGGCG